This 298-nucleotide unclassified non-coding RNA is filed under the name Hevea brasiliensis (rubber tree). The record is from RNAcentral. Lineage: Eukaryota; Viridiplantae; Streptophyta; Magnoliopsida; Malpighiales; Euphorbiaceae.
ACACUCUCUGCCAGUUGUCUAAAAUGAAGUACUUGAUGUCUCUGCAACAUCCACUAAUUGGGUUGUCAUCCGGUGAAGGCUUAAGUUUCUGGCUGAGCAUUUUGCUCAGGUUUCUGCUCUCUCCUACUCUUACAGAUUGGCUUGGUCCUUGUAAUAGAAGCAUUUCCAGGUUCUCUAUCAUGAUAUAUCCAUGAUUUUCUGGAUCCAGCUCUUCCAUGAUCAAGGCUGCAUACUCCUCUGCUUGUGUUAGGAUAUUUGAGAGUUUAUUGGCAGAAGCGCUAAGGGUAAUAAUCUCUCU